RNAcentral lists this long non-coding RNA (945 nucleotides) under Pan troglodytes (chimpanzee). Its description in RNAcentral is "long non-coding RNA NONPTRT008543". Lineage: Eukaryota; Metazoa; Chordata; Mammalia; Primates; Hominidae. The record is from RNAcentral.
AUGAUAAGUUGUCUAUACACACACACAAAAUAUUCUUUUACAACUUUCAAUCAUAAGGUUUCAUCAGUAUCAAUUUUCUCAUUUGAGUAAGUUGUCCACAGAAAGGCUUCCCCACAUUCGUUGUAUUUGUAGGGUUUAUCAUUACUAUGAGUUCUCUCAUGAACAAGUUUUGAGCCAUGAGUAAAGGUCUUCCCGAAUUCCUUACGUUGAUAAAGCUUCUCACCAGUAUGAAAUCUCUGAUGAACACUAAGUUGAUAGCCACUACCAAAGGCCUUCCCACAGUCUUUACAUUCAUAAGACUUCUCAUUAGUAUGGACUCUCUCAUGCUUAACUAGGCUUGAACCCCAACUGAAGGCCUUCCCACAUUCCUUACAUUUGAAAGGUUUCUCACCGGUAUGAAUUUUCUGAUGUUGAGUAAGGUGAUAGCCACGACUAAAAGCCUUCCCACAUUCUUUACAUUCAUAGGGUUUCUCCCCUGUAUGGAUUCUUUCAUGUUGAACAAGGCUUGAUCUACAAUUAAAACCCUUCCCACAUUCCUUACAUUUGAAAGGUUUCUCACCGGUAUGAAUUUUCUGAUGUUGAGUAAGGUGAUAGCCACGACUAAAAGCCUUCCCACAUUCUUUACAUUCAUAGGGUUUCUCCCCUGUAUGGAUUCUUUCAUGUUGAACAAGGCUUGAUCUACAAUUAAAAGCCUUCCCACAUUCCUUACAUUCAUAGGGUUUCUCACCAGUAUGAAUUCUUUCAUGUUGAAUAAGACUUGAUCUGCAAUUAAAAGCCUUCCCACAUUCCUUGCAUUCAUAGGGUUUCUCACCAGUAUGAAAUAUCUGAUGUCGAGUAAGUUGAUAGCCCCAACAAAAAGCCUUUCCACAUAUUUUACAUUCAUAAGGUUUCUUACCAGUAUGGAUUUUCUGAUGCGGAGUAAGUUGAUAGCCACGACUGAAGGCC